AUGGAGGACGAGCAGCCCGACAGCCUGGAGGGCUGGGCGCCGCUCCGGGAGGGCCUCUUCGCCGAUCCCCAGAGGCACCGGUUGCGCUUCCUGGUGGCUUGGAACGGCGCGGAGGGCAAGUUUGCUGUGACUUGUCACGACCGCACCGCGCAGCAGCCGCAGCGGCGCGAGGGGGCCCGGCUGGGGCUGGAGCACAAGCCCGAGGCCGCCGUGUCCCCGCCCAGCUGGGCCGGCCGGCUCUCGGCCGCGGGGUUCCGCGGCGCGCGCCGGCAGCCAGCGGCGCUGUGGCCGCCUCUGGAACACUGCUUCCCACGGCUGCCGCCGGAGCUGGACGUGGGCGGCGGCGGGGCCUGAGGUCUGGGGCUCGGGCGGUGGGCGCUGCUCUGGCCGGCGCGCGUGGGCCCCGGCGAGGCGGCGCUGCAGGAGCUUUGCGGGCAGCUGGAGCGCUACCUGGGCGCGGCGGCCCACGGCUGUGGCGGCGCCACCGUGCGCGACGCUCUCUUCGCGGCUAAGGGCCGCGCGGCCGACUGCGAGAGCCCGCGCGAGUUUCGGGAGCGGGCCCUGCGCGCCUGAUGGGUCGAGGCGGACGCGCGGCUGCGUCAGGUUAUUCAAGGACACGGAAAAGCCAACACCAUGGUAGCAUUAAUGAAAGUUUACCAAGAGGAAGAUGAAGCCUACCAGGAAUUAGUUACCGUGGCAACCACGUUCUUCCAGUACUUAUUGCGGCCAUUUAGGGCUAUGCGAGAAGUUGCAACUUUAUGUAAGCUUGAUAUUUUGAAGUCCUUGGAUGAGGAUGACCUAGGUCCUAGAAGGGUAGUUGCCCUGGAGAAAGAAGCUGAAGAAUGGACCAGACGGGCUGGAGAAGCUGUCGUCUCUAUUCAAGAUAUCACAGUGAAUUAUUUUAAGGAGACAGUAAAAGCAUUAGCAGGAGUUUCUGAUAUAUUGCACAGAAUCAACAAGAUAUAAAGCAGAAUGAUGAUCCUGGUUUUUUGGUCAAACUAUCCAUAUGAGCCUGUCUGUCUAGCUAGUCAUAGAAACAAUAUGGAAGCAAGUGUGCCAAAAUAUAAGAAGCAGUUGCCUCAACUAGGAAUGCAAAAAGAAAUGGAACAGGAUGUGAAGAGACUUGGCCAGGCUGCCUGGGCCACAGCAAUUCCCAGGUUGGAAAAACUUAAGCUAAUGCUAGCUCAAGAGACUCUGCAACUCAUGAGAGCGAAAGAAUUGUAUUUAAAUUGCAAAAGAGCUGAAAUUCAGGGAAAGAUGGAAGAUCUUCCAGAACAAGAAAAAAAUAUAAAUGUUGUAGAUGAAUUAGAAAUACAAUUUUAUGAAAUUCAGUUAGAACUAUAUGAAGUUAAAUUUGAGAUAUUAAAAAACAAAGAAAUACUGCUUACUACACAGUUGGACUCUCUUGAAAGACUUAUAAAAGAAAAACAGGAUGAAGUUGUCUAUUACGAUCCAUGUGAAAGUCCAGAGGAACUUAGUCAUUGACUGUGGUGGGGCUGCAGGACGAUAAGAAUUCGGAAGUGAAAGAACUCAGAAGGCAGUGCCAGCAGCUGGAGUCUAUUAAACGGGGCAGGAUCUGUGUCAAAAGAGCUUCUCUCCAGAGUAGAAAGGAUCAGUGCAAAGAAAAUCAUUGGCUCAGAUUGCAACAGGCUGAAGAAAGCAUAAGAUAUUCUCGUCAGCAUCACAGUAUUCAGAUGAGACAAGAUAAAAAGGAGCAAAAGAAAAAAGAAUGGGUCAACCAAGAACGUCAAACACUCCAACGAUUGAGAGCAUUUAAAGAUGUAAGUUCUAUAAACAAUCACCUCAUCUACACUUCUGGGGAAAUAAAUGAAGACCGCUCUAAAGAGGAAAGUAUUAAGAACAGGUCAUUCAGAACAUGAAACAUUUAAAAAAUAACAUUAUUUCUGGUAUAUCAAUAAAAAGCAACAACAAAAAUAGAAUAUCAGUGAUUCAAAACCCAUGAUAUAAAAUAACUGCUGUUUUUAACAUCACAACACGCUUGGGUUCCUGCUCUGCACUCUUCACUGAGUAGUCCUUACUGGCACUGGUGGUUUAGAUUGGCAGGGAAAACUGAAAACUGUUCAACUCCCUUGACUUUAGCUGGCAUUUCCUCUCAUUUGUAAUAAACAAUUCUUUAAAAUGUUAUCCAGGCAGCAUUGUGAUAUAAGUGUAGUGAAAGUGCCCAGUUAAAAGUAAAAUGUGUUGUUGUUUUUUUUUGAUAUCUACAACUUUCUUUUUUCUUUUUUUUUAAAGUAUAUACUUAAGAGGAUGAUGUUAUUUUUUUAUGCCCUCUGUUCCAGGCCUACAUUUGUAUUUCCUCCACAAAAUGAUCCUCAGUCUGUAAUUUUUGUUCUAUUUGACUUUAUUAUUAGAGAUAAAUUCCUUUAAUUAAAAAAAAGCUACUAUGAAGGUUGAAAAAAUAAUUUUUUGGUUUUAUUUUUAAUUGACACAUAAUUGUACAUAUUUAUGAGGUAUAGUGUGAUAUUUUGAGGUAUAUAAUAUGGAAUGAUCAAAUCAGGGUAAUUAGCGUAUCUAUCACCUCAAACAUUUAUCUACAGGUAAAUAGGUUUUUUAAAAUAAAGUAAAUAGGGAGUCUGGCACAGUGGCUCAUGCCUAUAAUCCCAGCACUUUGGGAGGCUGAGGCGGGCGGAUUGCUUGAGACCAUGAAUUUGAGACCAGGCUGGGCAACAUGGUGAAACCCCAGCUCUCCUAAAAAUACAAAAAUUAGCUGGACAUGGUGGUGCAUGCCUGUAGUCCCAGCUACUUGGGAGGAAAAAUACCAAUUGUGCACAUAUUUUUGUAAAAUUAUACAUAAACACUUUAUUUUUUAUGUCAUUCUAAAUAAUUUUUUGUAUGUUUCUAUUUCCAAACGUUGUUUGGUAAUAUAUAGAAAUAUGAUUGAUUUUGUUUAUUGAGUUUGCAUAUAACCACAUUACUAAACUCGCAUAUUGAGCAUUUUAAUAGGUUAUUUUGAAUACUUUUACAUAGACUGUUGUCUGAAAAUAGAAACAGGUUUAUUUCUUCCUUUCUGAUGUGGAUGUCACUGAUUUUUUUCCCUACAUUACUGAUCUGGCUAGGACUAUCAGUAUAAAGUUGAAUAUAAGUGGUAAAAGAUCUGACUUCUUGCCUUGGACCCAGUUUUUAAAUCAGUUGGAGAGUCACCAUUAAGUGUAAUUUAGUGGUAGUUUUGUUUGUUUUUUUUUUGUUUGUUUUGUAGAUGCCCUCUAUCAGGAUAAGUUCCCUUUUCUCAUUUUGCUGAGAGUUUUUAUAAAGAAUAGCUAUUGAAUUUUGUCAAAUGCUUUUGCUGCAUCUGCUGAAAUGACACGUUUAUUCUUCAUCUACCUAAUAAUGUUGCAAUUUAUAUCUGUUGAGCUUUGAAUGUUGAACCAGCCUUGCAUUCAUGGUAUAAAUCACUUGUUUGUAAAGUAUUGUUUUUAAAUAUUGCUAGAUUUGAUAUCUUAGUAUUGUAUUUUUAUAUUUGUCUUCAUGUGUUUUUGUUUUCUCAUAAGUGUCUGUACCCCCCUUUUUUUUUCUUUAAAGAGAAAUAAUGAGAGAGAUUGUCUCUCUUGAAGUUCUCAGUGCCUGUGCAUUGCUGCCACUACACAGCUAGUAUCAUGACAGCAGCUUCAGAACCAGAGCUGGCUUCCAGGCAAGGCUGGGUGGGGAAGAAAGAGAAAAACAAAAGAAUUAUUUCUCUAUGCCGAGACCAGCUCGGUCAGGGAGACCCUAACCUAGCGGUGCUAGAGGAAUUAAAGACAUAGACACAGAAAUAUAGAGGUGUGAAGUGGGAAAUCAGGGGUCUCACAGCCUUCAGAGCUCAGCCACAAACAGAGAUUUACCCACGUAUUUAUUAACAGCAAGCCAGUCAUUAGCAUUGUUUCUAUAGAUAUUAAAUUAACUAAAAGUAUCCCUUAUGGGAAACGAAGGGAUGGGCCGAAUUAAAGGAAUAGGUUGGGCUAGUUAACUGCAGCAGGAGCAUGUCCUUAAGGCACAGAUCACUCAUGCUAUUGUUUGUGGUUUAAGAAUGCCUUUAAGCGGUUUUCCACCCCGGGCAGGCCAGGUGUUCUUUGCCCUCAUUCCAGUAAACCCACAACCUUCCAGUAUGGGUGUUAGGGCCAUUAUGAACAUGUUACAGUGCUGCAGAGAUUUUAUUUAUGGCCAGUUUAUGGCCAGAUUUUGGGGGGCCUGCUCCCAACACUCUACAUAUGCUCCAUCUUGCAGAGGCUUCAUUCUUGGUUCUCUAGCUAAAAACAGUAGAAAUUUUGCACACCUGGGUUAGAAAAAAAAAAAAUAGCCAUUAAACCCACCCCUGUUACAGGUCACUAUUGGUAUUUUGAUUUUGCCUUCAAUCCAUCUGUUAUUGUUUACUUUUAAGAGUCCUUGAUAGUUGCUUUUUAUGUCCAGAGUUUUAAUUUCAGUCAGAAAGAGAAAUAGGCCUUGGUGAGCAUGCUUUGUCUUGGCUGGUGCCAGAAGUCAGUACUCAAAUAUUUUUAAAAUAAUUUUUAGUUGAAUAACAAGUUAGACCUGUGUUUAGCUUUCUCAUUGUUUUCCUAAAAAUAGAAGAAAAGGUUUUAAAUACUUUAACCACGAAAUAAUUUAAAGCAGGUUUAAAAUAAACUCCUUCAUUUUGCCUGUUCUAUUACUCUGUUCUCACACUGCUAAUAAAGACAUACCCAAGACUGGUAAUUUAUAAAGUAAAGAGGUUUAAUUGACUCACAGUUCCACAUGGCUGGGGAGGCCUCCCAAUCAUGGCAGAAGGUGAAUGAGGAGCAAAGUCACAUCUUACAUGGUGGCAGGCAAGAGAGAGAGCAUGUGUGCAGGGGAAUUCCCCUUUAUAAAACCAUCCAAUCUCAUGAGACUUAUGCAGUCUCAUGGGAGCAGCAUGAGAAAGACUCACCUCCGUGAUUCAGUUACCUCCCACUGUGUCCCUGCCACAACAUGUGGGAAUUGUGGGAACUAAAAAUCAAGAUGAGAUUUGGGUAGGAACACAGUCAAACCAUAUCUCCUAUAUACAUUCACACUAGCAUUUUAGUUUUAGAACUAGUUCUAUGUUACUAUCUGAAUUAAUUUUUCCACAAUUUUGUAAGGAAAAAUAAUGCGUUCUUUGAAUUUCAUGUGUAAAUGAUAUUUUUAGUUUUGUGUCAUUUUGUCAAAUAAAUUCUGAAAAUCUUUGUAUUGACAGUGUGUUAUCUCUGCAUAACCAUAUAUGUAUAAGAGUGCUCAAUAAAAAGAAUAAAGAGGAAACA
Homo sapiens (human) is the source of this 5246-nucleotide RNA transcript. It is a transcript of the gene named WHAMM pseudogene 2, with no coding region annotated. NCBI's taxonomy places the organism in Eukaryota, Metazoa, Chordata, Mammalia, Primates, Hominidae. The record is from RefSeq and is marked provisional. The transcript has 9 exons.